GGCAGUGUGGCAUAGUGGUUUGAGUGUUGGGCUAAAACUCUAGAGACCAGGAUUCAAUUCUCCACUUUGCUA
Phrynosoma platyrhinos (Desert horned lizard) is the source of this 72-nucleotide non-coding RNA. The record is from the annotation of a GenBank genome assembly. Lineage: Eukaryota; Metazoa; Chordata; Lepidosauria; Squamata; Phrynosomatidae.